This is an RNA transcript of Hippoglossus stenolepis (Pacific halibut), 1696 nucleotides long. RefSeq lists it as uncharacterized. NCBI's taxonomy places the organism in Eukaryota, Metazoa, Chordata, Actinopteri, Pleuronectiformes, Pleuronectidae. The record is from RefSeq and is a predicted model, not a curated record. The transcript is spliced from 3 exons.
UCUGUCUGAACUGCUGUCUAGACUUUGACACACUGGGAUGGAUGAACUUUGACCUCCUGCUGGACCAAGCAGAGAUGAGCGCCAUCGACCUGGACAAGUAUGAGCUGUGCACGAAGCCUCUCUUCCAACUCCUCUCCUGCAAUACCUUCAAGGACGGCAAGCUGUCUUACAGCGAGUGGUGUUACUGCUUCCAACAACCUGGGGGUGAGGGAGGGAGGAGAGUUUUCCAGAGCCUGAUGGAGUCUGACAGAGACAAUGAGGCAGUUGUUGAGGAUUAAAAGAUCCACCGGAGAAAGUGAAUUGGACAUGUUGGAGCGGAAAAUUUAACUUGCACUCAUUUCAGCAACCCAAAAAAAGGUCCAGAAAUAGGACAUAGUUGCAGCGGACAUUCUCUGCAGGAGUUUAAGAGACAGUGAUGAAAAUGUUUGACCUGUCAAAGUAAGAAAAAAUACGAUCCCGACGCAGUGGAAGGAUGCCCUCAGAUGAGGAGCAGGAGGCUCCAGGGGACCGAGAGUCUUAAGAGAAUGAACGAGUUCAAACUGUAAAAGGCGGCAGAACCAGAUCCACCUGAGGAGCUAAUGAGGACAUGGAGGAAGUCGUUCUGGAGGAGCUGUCUUGUGCAUUAACAGCCAGAAAUCAAAGUCAUAACAAACAUGAGGGGGCGAAAGUAUAUAAAUUAUAAAUUAUCAAGAUUAGAACCUACACUUAAUGUUUUCCCAAAGGUCUCUGGAUUGAGCCAUGUGCACCACUAACUUUCAACCAAGUCAGAAACUGCUGUCUCUCUCUCCACCUCUCAACCCUGCUGAAAUAUAUGGAAUUAACUUUCUCUUCCCCGGCACUUUUAUCUAUUUGUCCAUUUAUUUCCCCUCCUCCUGUCUUUGCCUCCUGUCUUUGCCACUGUGUCUUGGUCGGAUCCUCUGGUCUCAGUCCGUGACGCCAGAAAUAAAAGGUUUAGCCCCCACUCGUAUGGUAAUAAAUGUUUCAUGUUCCUUUCAGGAAGGCCACAUUCAGGUAAACGCCUCCUAUCAGGUUUUCUUCUGUAUUUCACAAAUAGGCUCUUCUGUAGGUUUUGCAGCUUUAACUGUUUGUUGUAUUGGGGACCUUGAAAGGCAGAGAAAGUCAAAUCAACAUAAUAUAUCAGCAUACGUGUUUUAUAUUUGAAUGUUCAGAUUAAAUUGUAGAACACAAUACAAAAACAGUUUAUCUUGGUGAUGACCGUGCUGUUUAUUUUUGGCUGCUUCUGUCUUCCGCUGCUGUUUCAAGGCUGCAAAUGAUUACAUUUUAAACUCUUGUCUCUCCCACCAAUUGAGGCUCCUUCCUGAUGAUCUUCAGUCUCUGCUCUUCAGUCUGUCGUAACCUCCAACCAGGUAUCACUCUGUUACAAGGCACUAGUUUUUCACGGGCUCGAUUCCAUCAAUUCCUCUCCAUGUUUGAAUGUGAGGCACUGAUUCAGUAAUUUAAGAGACAAAUGCGUUUAUAUCGCCUCCUUUUCUCAGAGUUUCACAUUCAACCUUGUCAUCCUGUCGUCAGGGAAAUACCAGGUCCUGCUGACCACUGUCUUUCUCAAUUGGUCCUGACUGAGGCUACCUGGGACACACACUUGUCCAUGUGUCCAACCAUUAUCUAUAGUGCUUAUCCUUUGAGCCAAUCCCCACUGACACUGGGCGAGAGGGGGCGUACACCGUCAGUGUAUCGC